This 421-nucleotide ribosomal RNA is filed under the name Fusobacteriota bacterium. Its description in RNAcentral is "Fusobacteria bacterium partial 16S ribosomal RNA". It matches the Rfam family "Bacterial small subunit ribosomal RNA", at positions 355 to 776 of the family's 1533-position model. Lineage: Bacteria; Fusobacteriati; Fusobacteriota. The record is from RNAcentral.
UGGGGAAUAUUGCACAAUGGACGGAAGUUUGAUGCAGCGACGCCGCGUGGAGAGUGUAGGCCUUCGGGUUGUGAACUCCUUUUUCUCGCGAAAAAGGCACAGUUUUGGCUGUGUUGAUGGUAGUGGGGGAAGAAGCGCCGGCUAACUACGUGCCAGCAGCCGCGGUAAUACGUAGGGCGCGAGCGUUGUCCGGAUUUAUUGGGCGUAAAGAGCUCGUAGGUGGUUCGUCGCGUCUGUCGUGAAAGCCAGCAGCUUAACUGUUGGUCUGCGGUGGGUACGGGCGGGCUUGAGUGCGGUAGGGGUGACUGGAAUUCCUGGUGUAGCGGUGGAAUGCGCAGAUAUCAGGAGGAACACCGAUGGCGAAGGCAGGUCACUGGGCCGUUACUGACACUGAGGAGCGAAAGCGUGGGGAGCGAACAGG